This 107-nucleotide small nuclear RNA is filed under the name Procavia capensis (Cape rock hyrax). The record is from RNAcentral. Lineage: Eukaryota; Metazoa; Chordata; Mammalia; Hyracoidea; Procaviidae.
GUGCUUACUUUAGCAGCACAUAUACUAAAAUGGGAGCAAUACAAAGAACAUUAGCAUGGCUCCUGCACAUGGAUGGCAUCCAAAUUCAUGAAGCUUUCCAUAUUUUU